RNAcentral lists this ribosomal RNA (308 nucleotides) under uncultured bacterium. RNAcentral describes it as "bacterial SSU rRNA". It matches the Rfam family "Bacterial small subunit ribosomal RNA", at positions 204 to 507 of the family's 1533-position model. The record is from RNAcentral.
AAGUUUAUCGCCCUGAGAUAAGCCCGCGUAGGAUUAGCUAGUUGGUGGGGUAAAGGCUCACCAAGGCGACGAUCCUUAGCUGGUCUGAGAGGGAGAUCCCCCCACACUGGGACUGAGACACGGCCCAGACUCCUACGGGAGGCAGCAGUGGGGAAUUUUGGACAAUGGGCGAAAGCCUGAUCCAGCAAUGCCGCGUGCAGGAAGAAGGCCUUCGGGUUGUAAACUGCUUUUGUACGGAACGAAAAGGCUCUUUCUAAUAAAGAGGGCCCAUGACGGUACCGUAAGAAUAAGCACCGGCUAACUACGUG